Long non-coding RNA from Gossypium arboreum, 2213 nucleotides. RefSeq lists it as uncharacterized. The record is from RefSeq and is a predicted model, not a curated record. The transcript is spliced from 2 exons. NCBI's taxonomy places the organism in Eukaryota, Viridiplantae, Streptophyta, Magnoliopsida, Malvales, Malvaceae.
UCCAAAAAAUCAGAAGCCGACAUCUAUGAAAGAUUUGAGGUUGAUUACGCUUUGUAACAUUGUUUAUAAACUGGUGGUGAAGGUUCUUACGAAUUGUCUGAAGAUCUUGUUACCUCAAUUCAUUUCUCGGUCUUAAUUUGCUUUUGUUCCAAGUCAUCUCAUUACUGAUAAUGCGAUGGUUGCUUUUGAAACCAUUCAUCACAUGAAGAAUAAAGGGUGAGGUUUGAUGGGUGAGAUCGCUUUAAAAGUUGACAUUAGUAAAGCCUAUGACAUGGUGAAUUGGAUCUUUCUUCAUUUUAUUUUGGAAAGGCUGGGUUCCAUCACAGAUAAGUAGAUUGGAUGAUGCUUUGUGUUCCCUUCGUCAACUAUAUCAUUUUGUUUAAUGGCACUGAGUUGGGACUAAUUUCUCCCAAACGAGGCCUCUGUCAGGGUGAUCCAUUAUCACUGUAUCUUUUCAUUCUGUGCACUGAGGGGCCAAGUUAUUUGAUGAUGAACGCAGAGAGAUGAGUGGAUAUUCAUGGACUCUCUAUUUUUAGGGGAGUCCUACAUUAUCACAUCUGCUUUUUGCAGAUGAUGGUUUCUUCUUUUUUUGUGCUAUGGAGACAGAAGCUGAGGCGGUGAAGGGGUCAUUAUUAUGUUACAAUGAAGCUUCUGGGUAGGCCAUUAAUUUCUUUGAGUCUGGAAUUAUGUUUAGUUCUAAUUCCAAGCAACAAGGCCGUUAGAGAAUUUGUUCUAUUCUUGUUGUUUCAAUGCCUCUUAAUCAUGGUCGUUAUUUGGGACUUUCGUCACUAACUGGGCAUAAAAGAAAGCAAGUCUUUGCUUUCCUAAAGGAGCAUUGAGCAAGCAUAUCCACAGCUAGAAAAAUAGGUUUCUCUCUAGUGCAAGUAAGGAAGUUGUGCUUAAAACGGUGGCUCAGGCUGUUUUAGUCUAUAGUCAGCACGUGUUUUUACUACCUCAUAAUGCUUGUGAUGACCUACUGAAGAUGAUGAGUUCUUUUUGGCGGGGUUUUGAUAAUGAUGGGCGGAAAAUUCACUAUGCUUAUUGGGAUAGGUUUUGUGUUCCUAAACAAUUUGGUAGAUUGGGUUUUCACAACUCGAGAAGCAAGGUUGGCAAUUCCUUUCGGUGAAUUGUGGGUUUCUUGAUGAGUUGGAAGGUAAUUCUCCUUCUUUCAUUUGGAAAAGUAUUCAUAAGGCUAUUAAGGUGCUUUAUAGAGGGGUUAGAUGCUGAGUUGGUGAUGCGAGGGCGAUUGAGGGGCACAAUGAUUCGUGGAUUAGUGAAUGAUAAUUCUUUUUUAUUAAUUCUACUCCAAUUGAAGGUUGUGAACAUCUGGAAGUCAAUGGUUUAAUCCACUAACGGUGGUGCAUUGGAUACAGAUAUGGUUGAGGGACUCCUUACCCCAUAAGAUGCUGACUGUGUGCUUCAUAUGCCGAUCAGUUGGUCUACGGGGGUUAAAGGUUUAUCUUUGGCGUUGUUUGCGUGGGUUUUUCUGUGCAAUAGUAAGAUUUUUCAUCGUGGAAUCCAAGUUGAUUCUCUCUGCUUUAGGUGUCAACAGUCAGAAAAAGACAUUGAUCAUGUUCUUUUUUGUUGUUCACAUGCCAAAGUUGUUUGGGAUUUGCUAGAUGUUGAGUCCCAAUCUACUUUUAGAAUGAUGGCGGAAUCUGUUGUGUAUCAGGCGAGGUCGUUCCUGCAAGGUUGGUUGGUAGCUAAAAAAUGUGCAUGAGUCAGCCGAUUUUUAGAACACUAGUUGAGGGUGGUGAUGACCACUGGUGCUGUCCGCCAGCAAGUAAACUGAAAAAUGCAACUUUGAUGUCGCUAUUUUAAAUAACUAUGGUUCCAUGGCAGGGAGGUUAUGUUCGUUCCAUCACCGGUUUUAUGAAGAGUGACAUGGUUAAAGUUCUUGCUGCACGUGAGGCUCGCUCUUGGCUAAAAUCAUUGCAGAAGGAUGAUAUUGUUCUGGAAACUGAUUGUCAAAAGGCUUUGCUCAGUCUUUUUCUAUCCGUAGGAUCGCCAACAAAAAUCCAUAACUGCGGCUACUAGUAUAGGCAAGCAACUAAAACAUUUUAUCUCUUUGCAUUGAAAUGCAACUACGAUCAACAUUUGUUCAAUGAUUAUACAGACAGUUUCCUUCUACAAAACUAAAUAUUCACAAGCUACAUCAACUAUUAUAGUUCUUACAAUUUAAUCAUGAAGAAAUGAAAUUUGUCACAUUCUAA